This is a long non-coding RNA of Stegodyphus dumicola, 903 nucleotides long. The record is from RefSeq and is a predicted model, not a curated record. Lineage: Eukaryota; Metazoa; Arthropoda; Arachnida; Araneae; Eresidae.
GGUGUCAAUUUUAGAGAUUCUGACUGUGUAUAUUAACAGAAACUAUUCCGUAUUAGAUUUCAAUAAUCAAAUGUUUCUUGUGGAUCAACUGUCAAGUUAAAUACUCCCCAAGAUAAGGUUUAAAAUGAACCAUGGAGGAAAAUCCGCAAGAUCCGGAUGAAGACGAUAUGUUAUCUGCAGUUAAACAACCAGCAAAAUAUAAAUUAAUGUGUGCAAGCUUUCUAAAGGAUAUUGGAGAUACAACGCACCCUGUGCGUAAUUGUAAAUGCAGGAAAAGGACCUGGAGCAAGAAAUACAGUCUAAUUAAUUAACUGAAAAUAGUCUCACUCAUGAAAAUAGUUCAAGAGUUACAUAAAAUUAGAUCAUAGUCUCUCAUUUUUGAAAUUUUUAUCGUGGCUCCCUUGAAGAGUUUUAUUCCUUUUUUUAUAUUUCAAGACUGCGCUGAUUUGAAAGGACUGAAUAAAUAUGCAACAGGAUUGGAACUGAUACCAUCGGCUUUAAAGGGAAAGUGAGGAUAAAUGAAAGGAUACAUUUCACCUUCCGUUUGAAUAAUCGAUGCAGCUAUAACCAUCUACACUGAAGAGUGCUCUUCACAUGACUGGAAACCAUUUAUUUCUCUGUGCCUUAUUACCAUUUCUUUCCAUAACGACGAGCAGAAAUUGACUUUUUUCCCGUACGUCUGAAAAGACGGAGAUUUCAUCUGGAGAUAACCUCAAUUUUAAAACUGCUGUGUUUCAGAAAACUGAGUAGAGGUGUGGUGUUCUAUCUGAAGGUGUAAAGGCAGCGAUCAAAAAUGUGGAUUUUAGGCAAGUAAACUUUAGCCUUUUUACCUAAGUAAAACAUUCAGUAUGUUCCAAUCCUCUCGAAAAGAUAUAUUCAUUAGAAAAAAUAUGUCAGUAUCUA